The sequence is a non-coding RNA, 788 nucleotides long. The stretch from base 370 to 781 matches the Rfam family "Microsporidia small subunit ribosomal RNA", at positions 752 to 1303 of the family's 1311-position model.
AUAAAGUUUUAUUCUUACUUAAAUAUUUAUUAUUUGAAUAUUUUACAUGUAAAUUUUUGUGUGAUAUUAUGAAAUCUAAAUGAUUAUGUUGUUAUUCGCAGUAUUUAAUAUUAAUAAUUAGGGCAAUUUAGAAUUAGUAAUUUGAUGUAUGGUCGACAAAAGUCGUGCCAGCAGUCGCGGUUAUACGUAGGAUUUAAAUAAAUAUUAUUAGUGUUGAAGUUAAUUGAUUUAUAUUGUAAAUUUGUAAUUGAUUUUAAAAGGUGGAAUUUGAAAAUUAAAUAUAUUUUAUUAGGUGAUGAAGCUUUGAAAUUUAAAUUUUAAACUAGGAUUAGAUACCCUAUUAUUUUUAAAUAUAAAUAGAUUACACUUGAGUAGUAAUAGUUAAGUUCUUGAAACUCAAAGAAUUUGGCGGUGUUUUAGUCUUUUCAGAGGAAUCUGUCCUGUAAUUGAUAAUACACAUUAUAUUUUAUUUAAUUUUGUAAUGUCAGCUUGUAUACCGCCGUCGUAAGAUUAUCUUUUAAGAGGAAUAAUUUUCUGGUACUUAAAAUAAAGGAUAUGUCAGGUCAAGGUGCAGUUUAUAAUUAAGGAGAGAUGGAUUACAAUAAAGGGAAUUUAUAUGGACAUUACAUUGAAAUAAGUAAUUAAAGGUGGAUUUGAAAGUAAUAUUGUUAUAUUAUGAUAAUAUGAUUGUAGCUCUAAAACAUGCACACAUCGCCCGUCGCUCUCAUUAUUUAAGAUGAGAUAAGUCGUAACAUAGUAGAUGUACUGGAAAGUGUAUCUAGAAUAUC